This 2534-nucleotide long non-coding RNA is filed under the name Nicotiana benthamiana. RNAcentral's name for it is "long non-coding RNA (NBEN_LNC039653)". The record is from RNAcentral. Lineage: Eukaryota; Viridiplantae; Streptophyta; Magnoliopsida; Solanales; Solanaceae.
CAAUUAUAUUUUUAAAGGGUAUUCAAACUAAAGUUUGGAGGGCCAUAAACUCAUUGUGUUAUCUAGAGCCACAACUAAUCGGAGAAGUUUAAUUAUUCUAGCACUAAUGGAAUGGGCUUUUAUUACUACUUAAGCCAACCAGGAAUGUCGUUUAAAAUAGAACGAAAGGCUGAAAAUGGAGAGUCGUUCGGACUGAGCAUGAAGCUCAAUAGCAUGCCACAUGCAAGGCCAUUUCGGACAAGAAUAUAUAUGGAAAAAUCAUAUUUGGCCCAGUGAAAUCCCAAACUAGGGAAUAAACCAACUCCAGCCGACCGGGGGACUCCAUUUCGAGUCCUUCCCCACAGAACGUCUGUUACUACUUUCCCAAUUACGAAUCAAGCUGUUUUAAGAACUCUAACAAUUAACGAUCGAAAUCUAUAGUUGAGUCAUUUCUUGAUACUAAUCCCUUAUUAUCCCGAUUACAUGCCAACCUUACCUUGUUCAACUUGAAAGCAAAUGCGUAUUUAAAUUGACACUUACUUUUGGACAUUAUCUAAUUAGCACAAAUUGCCCACUCUGAUUGUAAAGAGUAUAACGAACUACUAGGCCCGAGAAACAAGCCCCAAGCAACAAUGACAGAUCAAUUUUCUGCAAAAGAAUUCAUAUUCCAAAACUUAAGGCUCAGAACAUUCAAUGAUCAAAAUCGAGGACCUUCAGCCUCAAUAUCGAAUCUAAGCUGGUUCAAAACAACCAUAAUUAAAAGAUGAACACGUCUUACCAAAUAAAAUCACUACCCUGUGACCAACAUACCCAAAACACUUCGAGUAUUACCUACAGCUCAUAUCCAGAGUUAACUCAUAUAGAAAAGGAGACCAACUAAACAAAUAUAACUUUAAUACAGUCCAUGGUCAUUUAAAUUACAUAAUGGAAAGCAAGGUCUACGUAUUGACUCAUUUUACACACUCUAACAUAAUGUCUAGCAGGUCAUAAUCAUUUUUCUCCAACAGAAUCAUAUCCAAAACCUCAAUUGAGCACACAUCAUUUAGGAAGAGCUGGAAACGAAAAUAGAUACAAAAACUAACGAUGAACUAAUGGUUUAACAAUUAAGCAUCAGAAUUCCAUUUUGAUUCCUCAAUCUCCAUUUUUGAGUAUCACAUUGUGUGAGUUUCAGGAAUGUGUACCUGGUAUUGAACAAACCAAAUACGCAGAAAGUGAGAUAUCAGCAAGUAACAGCAGGAUAGCAGAAUCAACACCAAUUAGACCAAUUCAAACCAUAAAAUAAAGUAAAAUAGCUUAGAAAAUAAUUUCAGCCCAAGCGAUGAACCAGGAAGCGUCAAACCAGACUCGAUCUUAAUUAAUUUCAACUGUCAGUUAAUCAGAAAUUAUUUCACCACUAGGAAAACUUCAGAAAUUACCAAAAAGAAUUCAAUGAAAAAAAAAAUUUCUAAAGUUUUCAGCCGUUUUGAUUUUUUCUGAUUUCUAUCUCUUCAAUUUCUAACUUCAGAGUCAAGUUAGGAUGCCUUUAUAGGAAAGGGAAGUAGGGCAGCCUAAAAAAGUUCAGUUUUGCUAUUUGGCCAGUUGCAAAAUUUUUUUUUGCUUAGAUGACAUAUGGUAAUUAAUAGAUUUUCAAAAACAAUCCAAAAUCCAGCUUCUCAGAAGCUUCUUAGGCAGUUACCUAAGAUUCCCUUAGGCUAGUUACCCAGGUUACACCCCUCCCCCUUACCCUUGUUUAUUACUGUAUGAAACCAGGCGGGUCAAGAGUGACCCAAGGUUCAGUUCUUAACAUUGGGCUUAGCCAAAUUGGGUCAAGUUCCUUUGUUGGGCUUCUAGUUUCAAAAUCCAAAUCACAAUUUAUGACACUUUUAAAAUUGGCCAGCCCUAAAGAAGAGAAGAGAAACAUGGGUCUCUUUAGAAAUAAAAAUAAAAGAAAAAAGAACAAACCUAAGCAACUAUCAAUCACGCAGAUAAUUCACUAGAAACUUAUUUGAACUAGUCUAAAAUUAAAUUGAACACAUAAAAAUACAAGAAGCAAGGAAAGAAAUGGAGAAAAGAAUCAAGCAAAGAGUAAUACUGGUUUUGGCCGAAGAAUCAACGAAGGCUGCGUGCUUGAUUAGGCGACUGAGUAAUUGACUGGAAUCCGCCAUGCUUCGAAAUGAAACCAAGAUGAUACCAGACGGUUGUUCUUGCAAAGAACAAAUGCUUGGCAUAAACUUCGGCACAAAGUAGACCACAGGGAUCAAAAGAAUUGAUCAAUUCAACGGAUUUCGAUUUCUUAUGUUCUUUGGGGAUUUCAGAUCCGAAAUUGGGGUAAAUUUUGCUGGGUAUUAGAAAAAAUGAUGAUGUAUUUUGGAGAGAAGGAAGGGUGAGGAUUGCAUGGUUGAAUUUUGGGGGUGAUUGAGGAGGUGAAACGCCUGUAACAAUGGCGAAACUUUAAGGCUGCUAGGGUUGAGAUGGGAGAGAUGAGAGAUGGACGAGGGGGGAUGUUUGGGAACUGAACUGAUCUCUUAGGACAUUUUUAAUCAAAGGUGAGGAUGGCUUCAAAGUCGUUGGAUAAG